This 254-nucleotide ribosomal RNA is filed under the name uncultured bacterium. RNAcentral's name for it is "partial 16S ribosomal RNA". It matches the Rfam family "Bacterial small subunit ribosomal RNA", at positions 524 to 776 of the family's 1533-position model. The record is from RNAcentral.
UACGGGGGGAGCAAGCGUUGUUCGGAUUUACUGGGCGUAAAGGGCGCGUAGGCGGCCACCGCAAGUCGACUGUGAAAUCUCCGGGCUUAACCCGGAGAGGUCAGCCGAUACUGCAGGGCUAGAGUGCAGAAGGGGCAACUGGAAUUCUCGGUGUAGCGGUGAAAUGCGUAGAUAUCGAGAGGAACACCUGCGGCGAAGGCGGGUUGCUGGGCUGACACUGACGCUGAGGCGCGAAAGCUAGGGGAGCGAACGGG